Molecule: ribosomal RNA, 253 nt
Filed under: uncultured bacterium
Lineage: Bacteria
Description: partial 16S ribosomal RNA
Rfam family: Bacterial small subunit ribosomal RNA
Source: RNAcentral
UACGUAGGGGGCAAGCGUUGUCCGGAUUUAUUGGGCGUAAAGAGCGUGUAGGCGGCCUGACAGGUCUGCUGUGAAAACUCGAGGCUCAACCUCGAGAUGUCGGCGGAAACCGUCUGGCUAGAGUCCGGAAGAGGAGAGUGGAAUUCCUGGUGUAGCGGUGAAAUGCGCAGAUAUCAGGAAGAACACCUAUGGCGAAGGCAGCUCUCUGGGACGGUACUGACGCUGAGGCGCGAAAGCGUGGGGAGCGAACAGG